GUGCUCACUUCAGCAGCACAUAUACUAAAAUUGUAACGAUACAGAGAAGAUUAGCAUGGCCCCUACACAAGGAUGACAAGCAACUAUAUGAAGUGUUCCAUAUUUUU
Erinaceus europaeus (western European hedgehog) is the source of this 107-nucleotide small nuclear RNA. Lineage: Eukaryota; Metazoa; Chordata; Mammalia; Eulipotyphla; Erinaceidae. The record is from Ensembl.